RNAcentral lists this ribosomal RNA (762 nucleotides) under uncultured bacterium. RNAcentral's name for it is "bacterial SSU rRNA". It matches the Rfam family "Bacterial small subunit ribosomal RNA", at positions 8 to 796 of the family's 1533-position model. The record is from RNAcentral.
AGAGUUUGAUCCUGGCUCAGGACGAACGCUGGCGGUGUGCUUCACACAUGCAAGUCGAACGGAGUAGCAAUACUCAGUGGCGGACGGGUGAGUAACACGUGGGAAUCUACCCUUAGAUGGGGAAUAACAGGCCGAAAGGACUGCUAAUGCCGCAUAUGUAUUAACCUCGACAGGGGUGAAUAUGAAAGGAGUAAUCCGUCUGAUGAUGAGCCCGCGUCCGAUUAGCUAGUUGGUAAGGUAAAAGCUUACCAAGGCGACGAUCGGUAGGUGGUCUGAGAGGAUGAUCACCCACAAUGGGACUGAGACACGGCCCAUACUCCUACGGGAGGCAGCAGUGGGGAAUUUUGUGCAAUGGGGGAAACCCUGACACAGCGACACCGCGUGAGCGAAGAAGCCCCUUGGGGUGUAAAGCUCUGUCAACGGGAACGAAAAAAAUGACGGUACCCGUGGAGGAAGCAUCGGCUAACUACGUGCCAGCAGCCGCGGUAAGACGUAGGAUGCAAGCGUUGUCCGGAUUUAUUGGGCGUAAAGAGUUCGUAGGCUGUUUGUUAAGUCUGAUGUUAAAGACCGGGGCUCAACCUCGGAAAUGCAUUGGAUACUGGCAGACUGGAGUGCAGUAGAGGCUAGUGGAAUUCCCAGUGUAGCGGUGAAAUGCGUAGAUAUUGGGAAGAACACCGGUGGCGUAGGCGACUAGCUGGGCUGUAACUGACGCUGAGGAGCGAAAGCGUGGGGAGCGAACAGGAUUAGAUACCCUGGUAGUCC